This 4966-nucleotide long non-coding RNA is filed under the name Canis lupus familiaris (dog). Its description in RNAcentral is "lncRNA (ENSCAFG00000059022.1)". The record is from RNAcentral. Lineage: Eukaryota; Metazoa; Chordata; Mammalia; Carnivora; Canidae.
CCAGGAUCGCUUCCUGGGCCAAAGGCGGGCACCAAACCGCUGAGCCACCCAGGGAUCCCUUUAAACAGUAGUUUAAAAUUACACAAGUUAACCUGUGGUUAUUGUUGGAAAAGUAGAAGGUAGAAAUGGGUAAAACACAUUUAUUUAGCUCAGAUCUUACUACCCAGAGUGAGUUAUUUAUUUAUUUAUUUAUUUAUUUAUUUAUUUAUCUAUCUAUCUAUCUAUCUAUUUAUUUAAGAUUUUAUUUAUUUAUUCAUGAGAGACACACACACACAGAAGGAGAGAGAGGCAGAGACACAGGCAGAGGGCAAAGCAAGCUCCAUGCAGGGAGCCUGACACGGGACUCGACCCUGGGUCUCCAGAAUCAAGCCCUGGGCUGAAGGCAUUGCUAAACCGCUGAACCACUUGGGCUGCCCAAGAUAUUUAUUUUUUAUGGUUCCCCUCAGACUCCUCUAAUCAAAUGAAAAUGAUUUGAAAGUUGAAUUUGAAGAUAAGUUAUUUAAAGUCAAUCUGAUCUUCGUGAAUCAACACAUAAGAGUGGCUCCCAGGGUGGCUGGGCGCGGUGCACUUGGUUAGGUGUUGGACUCUUGGUUUCAGCUUGGGUCAUGAUUUUGGGAUCGAGCCCUGCCUGGGGUCCGUGCUCAGCAUGGAGUCUGCUUGAGAUUUUCUCCCUCUUCCUCUGCCCUUUUCCUCUCUCUCUCUCAAAUAAAUAAAAUCUUAAAAAAAAAAAAAGUGGUUCUCACAUGUACUUUCACUUGGGGAUGUUCUAGCUAAUUCUUCACUCCAUAGAAACCAUGUAGUUUAAAAUAAACUACAAUGUUGAGAGAAAGGAACUCAUGCAGUUGUAGUCAGUGGAAGGUUGGUGGAAGCAUUUCAGACAUUUAAUAUGAAGGUAUAAGUAGAUAGAAAUUGUUAAAGAACAAUUCAGCCCUGAACAUGUAGACUUGGAGAUGAGUUUAGUUAUGAUUUAGAGAUGGAGGAUAAAGAUGGUAUGGAGAUUAACAGGUUACAAAGAUUGGGUAGUUGGAUCAACUACAGUUGUUGGAAGAAAGGAACGUUAAACUGUGCUUCUUGGCAAAAGUGGAAGAGUAAGAUAUUUUUUUGAGAUAAUGAAAAACAUAGGUAGUAACAUGAAGUUAAAAGUAUAAGUCUAAUUGGCAAGUUAAGAUAUCUCAUUGAAUUUCUUUUUUUUUUAAUUGAUUUGGUAGACAUUUGUUGAAGAUCUGGUAUCUAGGCUCUGGGGAAUAAUGAAGGAAGACGGCACAGCUCUAUCCAAAGACCUAUAAUCUAGAGGAUUGUGAAAAUUAUAUUUGGGAAGUUGUGUUUUAUGAAGAUAAUAGUUUAAACAGUGCCAGUGGAUAAGAAUUUUUAGCUAAGGAUUAUAUAUAUAUAUUAGGAUUAUAUAUUCAUGGAAUUUAGGUCUGGAACAGACCACAAUGAUGUAGUUCAAUCUUUGUUUUCCUUGUUUUUUUUUUUUUUUUUUUUUUUAAGAUUUUAUUUAUUCAUGAGAGAGAGAGAGAGAGAGGCAGAGACACAGGCAGAGGGAGAAGCAGGCUCCAUGCAGGGACCCUGAUGUGGGACUCGAUCCCGGGACUCAGGAUCACACUCUGGGCCGAAGGCAGGCGCCAAACCACUGAGCCACCCAGGGAUCCCAACGUUUGUUUUUCUGAUAUCAGCAAGGUCAGAGAUGUAUAGUGACUUGCUUAUGGUCACCCAGUUUGGAUGUUUAGGUCUUGAAUUCAGAUCCUAAUUUCCCGUACAGGGCUUUUUCUCCUAUAUAUUGAAUCUUGGAAAAAAAAGAAAAGUCAGAAGAAGAUAGGAAUCAGUCUAGAAAUAUUCAUCAGAUGCCUUCUAUAUAGUAGAAUUAAUAAAGGAAACAAACAUUCCUGUUUUUGAGGAGUUUAUGCAAAGGAUUCUUUCAUUUGUAAUAGAAAUCCAUCUCAAAUUGAAGGAGAAGGGAGAAUUUAUUAUUUCAUGUAACCAGAAAAGACAUGAGUGAAUCUGGCUUCAGGAUAGACUGGGAUCAGGGCCUCAAGACAUCAAGACCACUCUGUCUCCCUCUUGCAUUUUGGCAUAUGUCUAUGUAUUAAAUUCUUUUUUUUUUUUUGUUAAAUAUGCUUCUUUCAUGAUUGGGAAACAUAGCUCCUGGCAGCUCUGGGGUUAUAUCUUUAUAGUGCAUGAUGGAAUAGGAAAGAGCUAUUUCCUGUUGGAAAGACUUCAGGGAAUGAAUGAUAUAUAGCCCAGUCUACUUCACUUGCCAUCAUGUGGUUGAAGGUGUUCUACCUGACAGCCCUACUGAAUCACAUAAAGUGGGAGAAUUUCUGUAAAGGGGGAGGAUUAGGAAUGCUGGGCAUAUAAAACAUAAGGAGGGAAGACUGCCUGACAUGCGUACACACCAUGCACACAAAACCAUAGUAGGUGUCAAAUAUAGAAGUAGAAUGUGCCAUAGGAGUUCAGACCCUGGGACGUCAGGAAAUAUUCCUCAAAGUGAAAUAACGGAGUCUUGGUGAGUGAAUAGGAUUUUUGUAAGUGAAGAGGAAGCAUGAGUGGAGAUCCAGGCAGUAGGAAACAGUGAGGUAUGAACUAGAGACUUAUGCAAAAUGUUUUUGGAGAAUUGUGAGUAGACCAAAUCCUGUGACUUAGAGAAGACUGGGAAGAUGUGUUUGGCUUAGAGUGUGAAGGGCCCUGAAUGUUAGGAUAAGGAAUUUGACCCUUACUCUGUGGGCAGUGAGGAACCAUUGAAAUAUUUUGAUCAAGGGAAAAAAGGUAUUUUAGAAAGGUAAAUGGAGGAGCCUAAGAGUGAUUUUAUUUUAUUUUAUUUUAUUUUAUUUUAUUUUAUUUUAUUUUAUUUUAUUUUUAUUAUUAUUAUUUUUUAUAUUCUUAAAAAUAUUUUAUUUAUUUAUUCAUGAGAGCACAGAGAGAGGCAGAGACACAGGCAGAGGGAGAAGCAGGCUCCAUGCAGGAAGCCCAAUGUGGGACUUAGUCCUGGGACCCUGGGAUCGCGACCUGAGCCAAAGGCGGAUGUUCAGUUACUGAGCCACCCAGGGGCCCCUAAGAGUGAUUUUAGAUCAGAAAACUUAGAUAAAAAAACAAUGGAAUUUAUUUCCAGAGGAGCUAAGCUAUACUGUUCCUAAUAUGAAAAACAUAUAAUAAUUGUGAACAGAUCACUUACCUGUUUUCUAUUUGCCUUUUCAGUAAAAUAAAUAUGCUUAUCUUUCCUCAUAUGAGAUCAGAGUUCAUAUAUAAUUUUAGUAAGAAAAUAUUAUGGGGACACCUGGGUGGUGUGCUUGAGCUUUAGAGACACUAUGGAAUGCUUAUGCAGAUGGAAUGUGUGUAUGUAUGACAUAAGGAAAUACAGUGUACUUAAUUCUUUUUUUUUUAAAGAUUUAUUUAUUUAUGAUAGACAUAGAGAGAGAGACAGACAGAGAGAGAGAGAGAGAGGCAGAGACACAGGAGGAGGGAGAAGCAAGCUCCAUUCCGGGAGCCCGAUGUGGAACUCGAUCCCGGGACUCCAGGACCGUGCCCUGGGCCAAAGGCAGGCGCUAAACCGCUGACCCACCCAGGGAUCCCAGUGUACUUAAUUCUUAAAAAUCGUUAUGGGUUUUAAAAAAAAUUUGAAAAUAAAACUUGUGAGAGUCUCCUUUUAACUCAUUCUCCCACCCUGUCCUCCCAAUAUAGCCUUGUUUCUCCCUUCACCCAGUUCAGGUAACUACUAUUAGUGGUUGGUAUUUCAGACUCUAUGUAUAGCUAAAAUAUAUGUAUGUACAUACGUUUUUCAGAGUAAAUAGUGGAGUGAUAAUUUCAAACACUUAUGUAGUAUUUACUUUGUACUAGGUACUAUUACAUAUGUUAGCUCUUUAAUCCUCACUAUAAUUCUGUGAAGUAUAUAUUAUUCCUAUUUUAAAGUUGAGGAAACUGGGACACAGGAAGGCUAAGCACCUUGCCUAAGGUUAUAUAACCAGUAAGUACUAGAGCUAAGUUUCAGACCCAGGCAUUUUGCUUUUGGAGCUUGUGUCUUCAGCCACUAGCUUUAGUGGGAAGAUGCCUCCCUCCCUGUGGGGACUAAGAACAAACCUACCUUUGUCCCAGAUCAUCUACUUGAGAAAACAAAUCUUGGUUUUGCUUUUAAAACCUUUUAGGUAAACACUUACUAUGUAUCAUUGGUCUUUUAAAGCUGUCAUCUUUUCUCUCAUGUAGUGCUUUUUUGAGGGGGUAAAUGUCAAAUUCCAUUUUGAGAAUCUGUUAAAUGUUACAGACCAUCUCUUUUCAGGAACAUCCACGUAUGCAAAAAUAAAAUUUUACUGGGCAUAUCAGAGUAUUUAUGGACUUUAAGUUCAUCUUUGGACUGAGCUGAAAAAAAUCUUUACUUGCAACAUUUCAAUUUGUCUUUUCUCUCCAUUGUGUACACAUUUUUUUAGCCUGCUCUUAUGUUAUUAAUUUACCUUUUUUAAAAAUUUUUUUAUUUAUUUAUGAUAGUCACACACACAGAGAGAGAGAGGCAGAGAGAGAGGCAGAGGGAAAAGCAGGCUCCAUGCACCGGGAGCCUGACAUGGGAUUUGAUCCCGGGUCUCCAGGAUCGCGCCCUGGGCCAAAGGCAGGCGCUAAACAGCUGCACCACCCAGGGAUCCCUAAUUUACCUUUUUAUAUAUUGUUUCUACUUCUUUUGCUUGUUUCUACUUCUUAUUUUGCCAUUUUUUCUUUUUUUAGUAUCAUUACAUACUCAUAUAUUUUUAUUUAAUUCUGUAUGAUAGAAUCAGUCAUUCUGAUUGUAAUUCUCAAAUUAUUGUAAUGCAUUUAAAGUUCUCCUGUGAGGAUUUUUUCUGACUGUACAGAUAGCUGCUUUCAUCCUUGUUUUGAUUAAUGGCUGUAUUUGGUCUUAGGUUCUAAAGUCUGUGCCUUUUUAAUUUUUUUGAGAUAAAUAUCAGUUAUAUAAAAUUUCCUUUUUACUCUGGUAAAAAAAAAAAAA